Molecule: ribosomal RNA, 253 nt
Filed under: uncultured bacterium
Lineage: Bacteria
Description: partial 16S ribosomal RNA
Rfam family: Bacterial small subunit ribosomal RNA
Source: RNAcentral
GACAGGGGGUGCAAACGUUGUUCGGAUUUACUGGGCGUAAAGCGCGUGUAGGCGGCUUUGCAAGUCGGAUGUGAAAGCCCACGGCUCAACCGUGGAAGUGCAUCCGAAACUGCAUGGCUUGAGUCUCGGAGAGGAAGGUGGAAUGCUUGGUGUAGAGGUGAAAUUCGUAGAUAUCAAGCAGAACACCUGCGGCGAAGGCGGCCUUCUGGACGAUGACUGACGCUGAGACGCGAAAGCGUGGGGAGCAAACAGG